AGAGUUUGAUCAUGGCUCAGAACGAACGCUGGCGGCGUGCCUAACACAUGCAAGUCGCGCGAGAAAAGGGGGGCAACUCCCUGAGUAAAGCGGCGAACGGGUGAGUAACACGUAGGUAACCUACCCUCGAGCCUGGGAUAACCUACCGAAAGGUGGGCUAAUACCGGAUAUGACCACGGGAGCUGCGGCUCCUGAGGUGAAAGGUGGCCUCUGCUUGCAAGCUACCACUCAUGGAUGGGCCUGCGCGCCAUUAGCUAGUUGGUGAGGUAAUGGCUCACCAAGGCGAUGAUGGCUAGCUGGUCUGAGAGGAUGGCCAGCCACACUGGGACUGAAACACGGCCCAGACUCCUACGGGAGGCAGCAGUGGGGGAUAUUGCGCAAUGGGCGAAAAGCCUGACGCAGCGACGCCGCGUGGGUGAUGAAGGCCUUCGGGUCGUAAAGCCCUGUCGAGGGGAAAGAAACGGUUCCGACCCAACACGUCGGGACCCUGACGGUACCCCUAAAGGAAGCACCGGCUAACUCCGUGCCAGCAGCCGCGGUAAUACGGAGGGUGCGAGCGUUGUUCGGAAUCACUGGGCGUAAAGGGCGUGUAGGCGGUCUGUUAAGUCUGAUGUGAAAGCCCGGGGCUCACCCCCGGAAGUGCAUUGGAUACUGGCGGACUCGAGUCCCGGAGAGGAGGGUGGAAUUCCUGGUGUAGCGGUGAAAUGCGUAGAUAUCAGGAGGAACACCGGUGGCGAAGGCGGCCCUCUGGACGGUGACUGACGCUGAGNNNCGAAAGCGUGGGGAGCAAACAGGAUUAGAUACCCUAGUAGUCC
RNAcentral lists this ribosomal RNA (815 nucleotides) under uncultured bacterium. Its description in RNAcentral is "bacterial SSU rRNA". It matches the Rfam family "Bacterial small subunit ribosomal RNA", at positions 8 to 796 of the family's 1533-position model. The record is from RNAcentral.